AUUGAACGCUGGCGGCAGGCCUAACACAUGCAAGUCGAACGGCAGCACGGCAGUAGCAAUACUGUGGGUGGCGAGUGGCGGACGGGUGAGGAAUACAUCGGGAUCUACCCUGUUGUGGGGGGAUAACGUAGGGAAACUUACGCUAAUACCGCAUAAGAACUGAGGUUGAAAGCGGCGGACCGCAAGGCGUCGCGCGAUUGGAUGAACCGAUGUCCGAUUAGCUAGUUGGCGGGGUAAAGGCCUACCAAGCCUGCGAUCUGUAGCUGGUCUGAGAGGACGACCAGCCACACUGGGACUGAGACACGGCCCAGACUCCUACGGGAGGCAGCAGUGGGGAAUUUUGGACAAUGGGCGCAAGCCUGAUCCAGCCAUGCCGCGUG
Molecule: ribosomal RNA, 380 nt
Filed under: uncultured bacterium
Lineage: Bacteria
Description: bacterial SSU rRNA
Rfam family: Bacterial small subunit ribosomal RNA
Source: RNAcentral